Molecule: ribosomal RNA, 484 nt
Filed under: uncultured bacterium
Lineage: Bacteria
Description: partial 16S ribosomal RNA
Rfam family: Bacterial small subunit ribosomal RNA
Source: RNAcentral
AUUGAACGCUGGCGGCAGGCCUAACACAUGCGAGUCGAGCGGAUGAAGGGAGCUUGCUCCUGGAUUCAGCGGCGGACGGGUGAGUAAUGCCUAGGAAUCUGCCUGGUAGUGGGGGAUAACGUCCGGAAACGGGCGCUAAUACCGCAUACGUCCUGAGGGAGAAAGUGGGGGAUCUUCGGACCUCACGCUAUCAGAUGAGCCUAGGUCGGAUUAGCUAGUUGGUGGGGUAAAGGCCUGCCAAGGCGACGAUCCGUAACUGGUCUGAGAGGAUGAUCAGUCACACUGGAACUGAGACACGGUCCAGACUCCUACGGGAGGCAGCAGUGGGGAAUAUUGGACAAUGGGCGAAAGCCUGAUCCAGCCAUGCCGCGUGUGUGAAGAAGGUCUUCGGAUUGUAAAGCACUUUAAGUUGGGAGGAAGGGCAGUAAGUUAAUACCUUGCUGUUUUGACGGUACCAACAGAAUAAGCACCGGCUAACUUCGUG